ACCUGGCUGGCUUUGUUGGUAGAGCAUGCAACUCUUGAUUUCAGAGUUGUGAGUUCAAGUCCCAUGUUGGGUG
RNAcentral lists this transfer RNA (73 nucleotides) under Felis catus (domestic cat). It matches the Rfam family "tRNA". Rfam says of the family: Transfer RNA (tRNA) molecules are approximately 80 nucleotides in length. Their secondary structure includes four short double-helical elements and three loops (D, anti-codon, and T loops). Further hydrogen bonds mediate the characteristic L-shaped molecular structure. tRNAs have two regions of fundamental functional importance: the anti-codon, which is responsible for specific mRNA codon recognition, and the 3' end, to which the tRNAs corresponding amino acid is attached (by aminoacyl-tRNA synthetases). tRNAs cope with the degeneracy of the genetic code in two manners: having more than one tRNA (with a specific anti-codon) for a particular amino acid; and 'wobble' base-pairing, i.e. permitting non-standard base-pairing at the 3rd anti-codon position. RNAcentral also lists the same sequence under 3 other names. Lineage: Eukaryota; Metazoa; Chordata; Mammalia; Carnivora; Felidae. The record is from Rfam by way of RNAcentral.